RNAcentral lists this transfer RNA (69 nucleotides) under Atlantolacerta andreanskyi. RNAcentral describes it as "tRNA-His". It matches the Rfam family "tRNA". Rfam says of the family: Transfer RNA (tRNA) molecules are approximately 80 nucleotides in length. Their secondary structure includes four short double-helical elements and three loops (D, anti-codon, and T loops). Lineage: Eukaryota; Metazoa; Chordata; Lepidosauria; Squamata; Lacertidae. The record is from RNAcentral.
GUAAAUAUAGUUUANUAAAAACAUUAGAUUGUGAAUCUAAAGAUAGGAGCUAUUACCUUCUUAUUUACC